UUCUGAGAAGAGACCUUGAUGAAAUGAAGAUUUAUGGGAACAGAGAUUUUGAAAACACGUCGCAGUGUUUAGAUUUUAACAAAAAUAAGGCAACAAGGUCGAAAAUAGUUCUAGUUCAUAAUGAAGAAAAUGUCAACCGUUUUCUAGCUUGGCGAUCUCCGCACGCACCCGAAUAUAAUAGACAAACACAAUACAAUAGUACGCAAAACGUAAGAGAAAAAACUAAAGACCGAGCAACACGAACUCUCAACAAAACGGUAUAUAUUUCAUACAAGUAUAGAACUAUAUGAAGCGUCGUAACUGUUGCGGCGACGUCAAUAACAUUGUCGUUGUUUUUUGUUUUUUUACACUCAAGAUUCAACUUUAACAGAGUAUAGCUUGAAAAGUAGCACGGUUGCUAAGGACUUUCUUUGCACCAAUCGAUUCCUCAGACAUUUUAGAAUCGUCUUAUAAUUUUAAAAAAAAAUCGAUUGUCAAAUAUAAUAGAAAAUCUUGGAAAUGUAACAAUUCCUGUCGAAUUUCACGAUUUUCCCUAUAUAUCCUUUGUAAUUUUGGUGUAUGAUGCUGUUAACUUCAACAGCUCGUAUCUCAAAAACGAAAACGGUUACCCCCUUUUUUUAUUUUAUUUUCCGAUUUAUUUUUACAAGCAGAAUCUACAUGUAAAAUUUUUAAAAUAUCCAUUGUGUAGUUUAAUUACGUACACUUCGCCUUAAGGGAACAAAU
RNAcentral lists this long non-coding RNA (723 nucleotides) under Mytilus galloprovincialis (Mediterranean mussel). Lineage: Eukaryota; Metazoa; Mollusca; Bivalvia; Mytilida; Mytilidae. The record is from RNAcentral.